CAUCAUCUCUGCCUGAGCUCACUACCACUACUAUUGCUAGCUUGAUCGAGAUGGCCCGUUCUGCUGUUGCUCAGGUCGUGCUCGUCGCCGUGGUGGCCGCUAUGCUCCUCGCAGUCACGGAGGCGGCUGUAUCGUGCGGUCAGGUGAGCUCUGCCUUGAGCCCCUGCAUCUCCUAUGCACGCGGCAACGGCGCCAGCCCAUCUGCGGCCUGCUGCAGCGGCGUUAGGAGUCUAGCCAGCUCAGCCCGGAGCACCGCUGACAAGCAAGCGGCGUGCAAGUGCAUCAAGAGCGCUGCUGCUGGGCUCAACGCUGGCAAGGCCGCCGGCAUCCCCACAAAGUGCGGCGUUAGCGUCCCCUACGCCAUCAGCUCUUCGGUCGACUGCUCUAAGAUUCGCUGAUCGAGCACUUGCUGCCAUCGUUGUUGCUAUCGUACGUCCCCUACGCCAUCGUUGCUGGAUCUACGCUUAGUACGUUGAGGUCACACACACGCACACACACAUAUAUAUAUGAAUAAAUGCUCUCAUAUUAUCUCACUGCGUGAGAGAGAGAGGAGUACGUACGUCAAGCAGCUCUGCAUGGCCGGCCCGAGUUUGGUUGUUCCUCCACUCCCCGAGUAUGCUGUACUUUGUACCAUGUGUAAUUUUGAUAUAUGGAUUGUAUACUCAGCUGAUCAGCUCUACUUGCGUGCGCAUGUUAUUCAGCACUUUUGAUAUAUGCAAGACUGGG
Molecule: ribosomal RNA, 726 nt
Filed under: Triticum aestivum (bread wheat)
Lineage: Eukaryota; Viridiplantae; Streptophyta; Magnoliopsida; Poales; Poaceae
Description: partial small subunit ribosomal RNA
Source: RNAcentral